GUGCUCACUUUGGCAGCACACAUACUAAAAGUUGAUAUGGGAUGAUACAAGAUUAGCAUGGCCUUUGUGCAAGGAUGACACGAAUUCAUGAAGUGUUCCAUAUUUUU
This 107-nucleotide small nuclear RNA is filed under the name Propithecus coquereli (Coquerel's sifaka). The record is from RNAcentral. Lineage: Eukaryota; Metazoa; Chordata; Mammalia; Primates; Indriidae.